RNAcentral lists this ribosomal RNA (951 nucleotides) under Triticum aestivum (bread wheat). RNAcentral describes it as "partial small subunit ribosomal RNA". Lineage: Eukaryota; Viridiplantae; Streptophyta; Magnoliopsida; Poales; Poaceae. The record is from RNAcentral.
AUGAGAAUUUCCAUUGAUGAGUGUAAGGAAAGAACCGCUAGAUUGCGUGCUAAGAAAGAUAGCUUUAUAAAAGCGUGUUCUUCUAAGUUCCAUGAAAAUAAUGAUGAGGAUCUUAAAGUUAUUGAUGCAUCUCCUAUUAGAUCUAUGUUUUACAAUAUGAAUUUUGAUUAUUAUGGGACUGAUGAUGAAUCAACUUUGCCUAGAAGGCGUCCUAAGAAUUCGGAAUCUUUAGAUCUUGAUGCUAAAUUUGGUAAAAGUGAGAUUGGAAAGGUCACAACUUCUAGUAAUAUUGAACCUACUAUUUCGGAUUUCAAGGAAUUUGAUUAUGAUAAUUGUUCUUUAAAAGGAUGUAUUUCAAUGUUGCAAUCCAUUAUUAAUUCUCCUCAUGCUUAUAGUCAAAACAAAGCUUUUACCAAACACAUUGUUGAUGCCUUGAUGCAAUCUUUGGAUGAAAAACUUAAUUUGGAAGUUUCUAUACCUAGAAAACUUAAUGAUGAGUGGGAACCUACUAUAAAUAUUAGAAUUAAAUAUUAUGAGUGUUUUUCUUUGUGUGAUUUGGGUGCUAGUGUUUCCACGAUUUCGAAAACUUUACGUGAUAUGCUAGAUUUCCAUGAUCUUGAUGAUUGCUCGUUAAAUUUUCACCUUGAGGAUUCCACCAUUAAAAAGCCUAUGGGAAGGAUCAAUGAUGUUCUUAUUUUUGCAAAUAUAAAUUUGGUGCCCGUGGAUUUUAUCGUUCUUGAUAUAGAUUGCAAUCUUUCUUGCCCUAUUAUUCUUGGUAGACCUUUCCUUAGAAGGAUUGGUGCGAUUAUUGAUAUGAAGGAAGGGAAUAUUAGAUUAGAAUUUUCUUUAAGGAAAGGCAUGGAGAACUUUCCAAGAAAGAAAGUCGAAUUACCUUAUGAAUCUAUCAUGCGUGCUACUUAUGAAUUAAGUGCCAAAGAUGGCACUACUUAG